UUCCAGACUCCUACGGGAGGCAGCAGUGGGGAAUCUUCCGCAAUGGGCGAAAGCCUGACGGAGCAACGCCGCGUGAUCGAAUGAAGGCCUUCGGGUUGUAAAUAUCUGUUGACAGGGACGAAUAAGCAAUGCGAAUAGUUUUGUGUAUGACGGUACCUGUUUAGAAAGCUCCGGCUAACUACGUGCCAGCAGCCGCGGUAAUACGUAGGGAGCAAGCGUUGUCCGGAAUUACUGGGCGUAAAGGGCGCGUAGGUGGGCGCUUAAGUCAGGUGUGAAAACUCCGGGCUCAACCUGGAGACUGCACUUGAAACUGGGUGUCUUGAGGGCAGGAGAGGAAAGUGGAAUUCCUAGUGUAGCGGUGAAAUGCGUAGAUAUCGAGAGGAACACUCGUGGCGAAGGCGGGUUCCUGGACAUUAACUGACGCUGAGGCACGAAGGCCAGGGGAGCGAAAGGGAUUAGAUACCCUGGUACC
This 472-nucleotide ribosomal RNA is filed under the name uncultured bacterium. RNAcentral's name for it is "bacterial SSU rRNA". It matches the Rfam family "Bacterial small subunit ribosomal RNA", at positions 329 to 794 of the family's 1533-position model. The record is from RNAcentral.